AACGAACGCUGGCGGCAGGCCUAACACAUGCAAGUCGAACGCCGUAGCAAUACGGAGUGGCAGACGGGUGAGUAACACGUGGGAACGUACCUUUCGGUUCGGAAUAACUCAGGGAAACUUGAGCUAAUACCGGAUACGUGCGAGAGCAGAAAGAUUUAUCGCCGAAAGAUCGGCCCGCGUCCGAUUAGCUUGUUGGUGAGGUAACGGCUCACCAAGGCGACGAUCGGUAGCUGGUCUGAGAGGAUGAUCAGCCACACUGGGACUGAGACACGGCCCAGACUCCUACGGGAGGCAGCAGUGGGGAAUAUUGGACAAUGGGCGCAAGCCUGAUCCAGCCAUGCUGCGUGAGUGAUGACGGCCUUAGGGUUGUAAAGCUCCUUCGCCAGGGACGAUAAUGACGGUACCUGGAUAAGAAGCCCCGGCUAACUUCGUGCCAGCAGCCGCGGU
RNAcentral lists this ribosomal RNA (447 nucleotides) under uncultured bacterium. RNAcentral describes it as "bacterial SSU rRNA". It matches the Rfam family "Bacterial small subunit ribosomal RNA", at positions 29 to 521 of the family's 1533-position model. The record is from RNAcentral.